Molecule: long non-coding RNA, 112 nt
Organism: Saccostrea cuccullata (small rock oyster)
Lineage: Eukaryota; Metazoa; Mollusca; Bivalvia; Ostreida; Ostreidae
Exons: 3
Source: RefSeq, a predicted model, not a curated record
CAUCUGUAUCAAGUAUAUAUGAGGAAUCCUGUUUGCCAACAGUACCAUCACCUAGACAUUCUAGAGAGGAAUCCUGUUUGCUAUCAGCACCAUCACCAGGACAUUCUAGGGG